This 203-nucleotide ribosomal RNA is filed under the name uncultured prokaryote. Its description in RNAcentral is "partial 16S ribosomal RNA". It matches the Rfam family "Bacterial small subunit ribosomal RNA", at positions 524 to 726 of the family's 1533-position model. The record is from RNAcentral.
UACGGAGGGUGCAAGCGUUAUCCGGAUUCACUGGGUUUAAAGGGAGCGUAGGCGGAACGAUAAGUCAGUGGUGAAAGCCCCGAGCUCAACUUGGGAAUUGCCAUUGAUACUGUUGUUCUUGAGUUCGGUUGAGGUAGGCGGAAUGUUGCAUGUAGCGGUGAAAUGCUUAGAUAUGCAACAGAACACCGGUUGCGAAGGCAGCU